CUGUCUGAUUUGCUUGGUGAAUUUACUUGGAUGCUGUGUUUCUUCUGGAGAACGUUCGAAUCAACACCCGAACUGCAAGCUACAAUCACUGAAAUACCAGCGUUCGUUACAAACGACAUCAAGCUGUAGUGGUUCUGGUGACUAUAGUGUCCCUUUAAGAAUUGCAUUUUCUCAAUGAAAUUGACUGGCUCCAAACUUUUUUAGCUGGCUCCUAGAUUCCAAACAAAUGUGUCAGCCCUGGUGUGAAGACUGAAAUGUCAAUGCCAUUAUUAUGUGAAUGAAGCCCGAACAUUUUUUUUUAACCAUAAAUCCACUCGAGGGCACUCUGUGUGGUGGA
This is a non-coding RNA of Pelobates cultripes (western spadefoot toad), 337 nucleotides long. The record is from the annotation of a GenBank genome assembly. NCBI's taxonomy places the organism in Eukaryota, Metazoa, Chordata, Amphibia, Anura, Pelobatidae.